GCCAGCUUAGCAUAGUGGUUUGAGCAUUGGACUACAGCCUCUAUGACCAGGGUUCAAAUCCCUACUCAGCCA
This is a non-coding RNA of Phrynosoma platyrhinos (Desert horned lizard), 72 nucleotides long. Lineage: Eukaryota; Metazoa; Chordata; Lepidosauria; Squamata; Phrynosomatidae. The record is from the annotation of a GenBank genome assembly.